Molecule: ribosomal RNA, 483 nt
Filed under: uncultured bacterium
Lineage: Bacteria
Description: partial 16S ribosomal RNA
Rfam family: Bacterial small subunit ribosomal RNA
Source: RNAcentral
GAUGAACGCUGGCGGCGUGCCUAAUACAUGCAAGUCGAGCGAACCACUUCGGUGGUGAGCGGCGAACGGGUGAGUAACACGUAGGUGAUCUGCCCAUCAGACGGGGACAACGAUUGGAAACGAUCGCUAAUACCGGAUAGGACGAAAGUUUAAAGGUGCUUCUGGCACCGCUGAUGGAUGAGCCUGCGGCGCAUUAGCUAGUUGGUAGGGUAAAGGCCUACCAAGGCGACGAUGCGUAGCCGACCUGAGAGGGUGAACGGCCACACUGGGACUGAGAAACGGCCCAGACUCCUACGGGAGGCAGCAGGAGGGAAUCUUCGGCAAUGGGCGAAAGCCUGACCGAGCAACGCCGCGUGAAUGAUGAAGGCCUUCGGGUUGUAAAAUUCUGUUAUAAGGGAAGAACGACUUUAGUAGGAAAUGGCUAGAGUGUGACGGUACCUUAUGAGAAAGCCACGGCUAACUACGUGCCAGCAGCCGCGGUAA